This is a small nuclear RNA of Schistocerca serialis cubense, 107 nucleotides long. The record is from RefSeq and is a predicted model, not a curated record. NCBI's taxonomy places the organism in Eukaryota, Metazoa, Arthropoda, Insecta, Orthoptera, Acrididae.
GUACUCGCCUCGGCGGGACAUUUAAUAAAAUCGGAACGAUGUACAGAAGAUUAACAUGGUCCCUACGCAAGGAUGACAUGCAAAAUCGUGAAGCGAAAAAAAGUAAU